RNAcentral lists this ribosomal RNA (1486 nucleotides) under uncultured prokaryote. RNAcentral describes it as "partial 16S ribosomal RNA". It matches the Rfam family "Bacterial small subunit ribosomal RNA". The record is from RNAcentral.
AGAGUUUGAUCCUGGCUCAGAUUGAACGCUGGCGGCAGGCCUAACACAUGCAAGUCGAGCGAGAAAGCACUUCGGUGUGAGUAGAGCGGCGGACGGGCGAGUGAGUAACGCGUAGGAAUCUGCCUUGGAGGGGGGGACAACAUGGGGAAACUCAUGCUAAUACCGCAUACAUACGCCCUACGGGGGAAAGCGGGGGAUCUUCUGACCUCGCGCUCUAAGAUGAGCCUGCGUCGGAUUAGCUAGUUGGUGAGGUAAUGGCUCACCAAGGCGACGAUCCGUAGCUGGUCUGAGAGGACGACCAGCCACACUGGGACUGAGACACGGCCCAGACUCCUACGGGAGGCAGCAGUGGGGAAUAUUGGACAAUGGGGGCAACCCUGAUCCAGCAAUGCCGCGUGUGUGAAGAAGGCCUGCGGGUUGUAAAGCACUUUCAGCAGCGAGGAAAAGCCUAGGGUUAAUAUCCAUGGGUCUUGACGUUAACUGCAGAAGAAGCACCGUCUAACUUCGUGCCAGCAGCCGCGGUAAUACGAAGGGUGCAAGCGUUAAUCGGAAUUACUGGGCGUAAAGCGCGCGUAGGCGGUUAGAUAAGUUGGUGGUGAAAUCCCGGGGCUCAACCCCGGAACUGCCAUUGAUACUGGAAGUCUUGAGUUUGGUUGAAGUGGGCGGAAUGUAGCAUGUAGCGGUGAAAUGCUUAGAUAUGCUACAGAACACCGAUCGCGAAGGCAGCUCACUAAACCAACACUGACGCUCAGGCACGAAAGCGUGGGGAGCGAACAGGAUUAGAUACCCUGGUAGUCCACGCCGUAAACUAUGAUCACUCGUUGUUGGCGAUACACUGUCAGUGACUAAGCGAAAGCGAUAAGUGAUCCACCUGGGGAGUACGAUCGCAAGGUUGAAACUCAAAGGAAUUGACGGGGGCCCGCACAAGCGGUGGAGCAUGUGGUUUAAUUCGAUGAUACGCGAGGAACCUUACCUGGGCUCAAAUGCAAGAUGACAACCCCUGAAAGGGGGCUUUCUUCGGACAUUUUGCAAGGUGCUGCAUGGUUGUCGUCAGCUCGUGCCGUGAGGUGUCGGGUUAAGUCCCAUAACGAGCGCAACCCCUACUCUUAGUUGCCAGCAUGUUAUGAUGGGGACUCUAAGAGAACUGCCUACGCAAGUAGAGAGGAAGGUGGGGAUGACGUCAAAUCAGCACGGCCCUUACGUCCAGGGCUACACACGUGCUACAAUGGCCGGUACAGAGGGCAGCCACCUAGUGAGGGGGAGCGAAUCUCGAAAGCCGGUCUCAGUUCGGAUCGAAGUCUGCAACCCGACUUCGUGAAGCUGGAAUCGCUAGUAAUCGCGCAUCAGCCAUGGCGCGGUGAAUACGUUCCCGGGCCUUGUACACACCGCCCGUCAAGCCAUGGAAGCUGGGGGUACCUGAAGUCAGUGACCAUUUAGGAGCUGCCUAGGGUAAAACUAGUAACUGGGGCUAAGUCGUAACAAGGUA